CGGGCAAUAGCUCAGUGGUAGAGCUCCCGAUUCACAUGCGGGAAGACCUAGAUUCGAUUCCCGGCUGCUUAC
RNAcentral lists this transfer RNA (72 nucleotides) under Toxocara canis (dog roundworm). It matches the Rfam family "tRNA". From Rfam's summary of the family: Transfer RNA (tRNA) molecules are approximately 80 nucleotides in length. Their secondary structure includes four short double-helical elements and three loops (D, anti-codon, and T loops). Lineage: Eukaryota; Metazoa; Nematoda; Chromadorea; Rhabditida; Toxocaridae. The record is from Rfam by way of RNAcentral.